Molecule: transfer RNA, 69 nt
Filed under: Dorcus koreanus
Lineage: Eukaryota; Metazoa; Arthropoda; Insecta; Coleoptera; Lucanidae
Description: tRNA-Gln
Source: RNAcentral
UACAUUUUAGUAUAAGAGGUACAGAAAUUUUUGAUAUUUCUAGGGGUAGUUUAAUUCUGCCAAAUGUAA